ACGAGUUAGGGUCUUCCAGGCCCGACCUCCCAACCCUUUGUCUACUGAACCUCUGUUGCUUCGGCGGGCCCGUCUCACGACCGCCGGAGGAGCGCUGAAAGGCGUCUCCUCUGGCCCGUGCCCGCCGAUGGCCAACUACAAAACUCUGCAUAAAUCGUGUCUUAUGUCUAAGUCCAUGAUCAAAUUAAAAGCA
Molecule: unclassified non-coding RNA, 193 nt
Filed under: uncultured fungus
Lineage: Eukaryota; Fungi
Description: sequence contains ITS1, 5.8S rRNA gene
Source: RNAcentral